CUCUUUCUCGAUUCAGUGGAUGGUGGUGCAUGGCCGUUCUUAGUUGGUGGAGUGAUCUGUCUGGUUAAUUCCGAUAACGAACGAGACUCUCCCCUGCUAACUAGUCGGUUGGAUCUUGAUCAGUGGGUUGAGUGCCGAGUAACUCUCGCUGUGCGUGGUGUGCGUCUCGUUCCUCACGGUUCGUUGCGUGCUCAUGUGUGGCGUUGGAUGCCUUGGAUCACACUGCACCCCAAGUCCGCCGCUUUGCUAUAACUCUUCUUAGAGGGAUUCACGGCACUGAAGCCGUAAGAGACUGAGAGCAAUAACAGGUCUGUGAUGCCCUUAGAUGCUCUGGGCCGCACGCGCGCUACAAUGCCGGGCACAGCAGGUGUUUCUCCUGCUCCGACAGGAGCGGGUAACCCUCUGAAAGCCAGUGUUCUUGCAAGUGCUUCCUCCCUCGUGGAGUUGCACAGAGGCGUGCUUGGGCCUGGGACUUGCAAUUCUUUCCCACCAACGAGGAAUGCCUAGUAGCGGCGGGUCACUGAGCCCGCUGUGACUCAGUCCCUGCCCUUUGUACACACCGCCCGUCGCUACUACCGAUUGGGUGUACCAGUGAGAGCCUUGGACUGGCGUCCGUUGUUGCUCGCAAGAGUGACAAGCGGGUCCGACGGAAAGAGGUCCGAA
RNAcentral lists this ribosomal RNA (663 nucleotides) under Pallasea cancellus. RNAcentral describes it as "bacterial SSU rRNA". It matches the Rfam family "Eukaryotic small subunit ribosomal RNA", at positions 1255 to 1763 of the family's 1831-position model. The record is from RNAcentral. Lineage: Eukaryota; Metazoa; Arthropoda; Malacostraca; Amphipoda; Pallaseidae. RNAcentral also lists the same sequence under 2 other names.